GCUAUGAUGAUACUUCUAUACAUGAUCACAUCAUGAUUAAAAUUUAUACCCUCUAAGAAGAUCUGAGCAU
Molecule: small nucleolar RNA, 70 nt
Organism: Uloborus diversus
Lineage: Eukaryota; Metazoa; Arthropoda; Arachnida; Araneae; Uloboridae
Product: small nucleolar RNA SNORD61
Exons: 1
Source: RefSeq, a predicted model, not a curated record